UUAGGUAGAGAUUAGAGAUAUAUUUUUUUCUCUCCACAUCUUUUGAAAUCUACAUCAGUCAAUCAUUAUUUGUUAGCAAUGGAAUACAAUUUUCUUAAGUAUGCAAAUGCUAAACAUAAAUAGAAGCUUUUGAAGACUAACAUAGAUACAGAGAAAUUUCAAUAUAUCUCCUACUCACCUAUGUCUUUGAUUUACGUACGGGUUUGGAAAGGAAGAAUAAUCUUGAGUUUUUGAGAAAACCCUACAUGUGAGCGAAUGAGGUUUGAUACAGAAACGCCAUAGUAAUAGAAAAGAGUGAGAUUCAUUGAGAUUAAGCCAGAACAAAAAAAUGAUAUGAAUCAAUAAUUUAUCUUGGAGAAGAAGCGUUGCAUGAAUCAGAUAAGGAGAAUAUAUAUGAUAGAAUAACCGUAGUUAUCCUGAGAAUGUUGGAUCGUGGAGGUGUCGACGGGGUGGAGUGAUUUUUUUUUUUUGUCUUAGAAUUGAAACACGUAAAAUGCAACGUUUAUACUUUUGCGUUCUUUAAUUCUUUUCUGUUUUAUUAUUUUAAUUUUUUUUAUUUCUUUGAUUAUGUGGUAAAGUUUUAUUGGUUGAGUUACUUGUGAUUUAGUAUAUAAAGGAUGUAUUUUUAAAUAAUUGGUAUAUGAUUACAUGUAUAUGUGUGUCAAAAAAAAAAAAAAUUCAACAUGUGUGACAAAUAUCUAUGUUUGUAAAUUAUACCAUAUAGAUUUUAAUCUCGGGGUCUGAUUGAGUGUAUUUUUAUUUUGGACGAUUUAAUUCAGAAUAGUUUAAAUACUUGAUGGUUUAUUAUAUACAAUCAUAAUUUUCUUUUAUUGUUGGUUAAGUAUGCUAUUGCAAUAUUUUUAAUUGCGUAUACACUA
This 878-nucleotide long non-coding RNA is filed under the name Brassica napus (rape). Its description in RNAcentral is "long non-coding RNA (BNAP_LNC020075)". Lineage: Eukaryota; Viridiplantae; Streptophyta; Magnoliopsida; Brassicales; Brassicaceae. The record is from RNAcentral.